Eleginops maclovinus (Patagonian blennie) is the source of this 426-nucleotide long non-coding RNA. RefSeq lists it as uncharacterized. Lineage: Eukaryota; Metazoa; Chordata; Actinopteri; Perciformes; Eleginopidae. The record is from RefSeq and is a predicted model, not a curated record. The transcript is spliced from 4 exons.
UGGGGAAGUUCCUGCCAGAAAACAUAGACCCUAUCCUCUGCACACACCUGGAGCCUAUGCCGAUGCCUUCAUCAACCAUGAGAUCACUGAGUGGGAGUGGAAUGAGAAAAGCCUCUAAACCCCAUGCUGAAGACUUUCUUGUCGGUCAGAGAGGAGAACGACGGUCUCAGAGAUUUCCGAGGUCUGUGAGGCUGAGAUUGAAGAAGAUAAUGCACAACUAGAUGGAGCGAGGAGACCCAACAGAGUAAUUGCUGCUGGGGUUUCAUCAACCUUAAGAAGCAACUAAGGCCCAAUGAGGAAAAUAACAUAUUUGAUGUUGAUUUGAUGGGAUGCUAUGCUAUGCUAUAAACUAGUGUGUGCUAAAGUCAGGUAGAUACAAAAAAAGCCCUUACUGAAUAGUGAUAAACUGUAUAUGUAAUAUUCUUG